This is a long non-coding RNA of Myotis davidii, 109 nucleotides long. RefSeq lists it as uncharacterized. The transcript is spliced from 3 exons. The record is from RefSeq and is a predicted model, not a curated record. Lineage: Eukaryota; Metazoa; Chordata; Mammalia; Chiroptera; Vespertilionidae.
CUAGAGACAAAUGGUAAGGGAGGGGUGGUUAGAGAGCAUCCAAAGCACUUAUAUGCAUGCAUAUUAGCAUAGCCAAUGGACAGAGACACUGGGUCAGUGGGGCCUGCCC